GCGUAGGGAUCUACCUUCUGGUGGGGGAGUAGCCCGGACGAAAUACCGGAUUAAUACCGCAUAAGAACCUAAGGGUAGGAAAGGGGACCGAAUUCUUGAAAGCUCUUGCCGGAAGAUGAACCUGCGUUAGAUUAGCUAGUUGGUGGGGUAAGUGGCCUACCAAGGCGACGAUCUAUAGCUGGUCUGAGAGGAUGAUCAGCCACACUGGAACUGAGACACGGUCCAGACUCCUACGGGAGGCAGCAGUGGGGAAUAUUGGACAAUGGGCGCAAGCCUGAUCCAGCAAUACCGCGUGUGUGA
This 300-nucleotide ribosomal RNA is filed under the name uncultured Oceanospirillales bacterium. RNAcentral describes it as "bacterial SSU rRNA". It matches the Rfam family "Bacterial small subunit ribosomal RNA", at positions 115 to 408 of the family's 1533-position model. The record is from RNAcentral. Lineage: Bacteria; Pseudomonadati; Pseudomonadota; Gammaproteobacteria; Oceanospirillales.